Molecule: transfer RNA, 79 nt
Filed under: Philodina citrina
Lineage: Eukaryota; Metazoa; Rotifera; Eurotatoria; Philodinida; Philodinidae
Description: transfer RNA-Ala
Source: RNAcentral
GUUUAAAAAGUAUGUUUCUUAACGAUUUGCAGUCGUUAGAUUUUAAAUCAUUUUUUUAAGGUUACGAUCCUUAUGUGUU